GUGAGGAAUUUUCCGCAAUGGGCGAAAGCCUGACGGAGCAAUGUCGCGUGAAGGAUGAAGGCCUAUGGGUUGUAACUUCUUUUCUCAGAAAAGAAUUAUGACGGUAUCUGAGGAAUAAGCAUCGGCUAACUCUGUGCCAGCAGCCGCGGUAAGACAGAGGAUGCAAGCGUUAUCCGGAAUGAUUGGGCGUAAAGCGUCUGUAGGUUGUUUAAAAAGUAUUCUGUCAAAGAUUAGGGCUUAACCCUAGAUAGGCAGAAUAAACUUUUAAGCUAGAGUUUGGUAGAGGCAGAGGGAAUUCCCGGUGGAGCGGUGAAAUGCGUAGAUAUCGGGAGGAACACCAAAGGCGAAGGCACUCUGCUGGGCCAAUACUAACACUGAGAGACGAAAGCGAGGGGAGCAAAUGGGAUUAGAAACCCCAGUAGUCC
RNAcentral lists this ribosomal RNA (425 nucleotides) under uncultured bacterium. RNAcentral describes it as "bacterial SSU rRNA". It matches the Rfam family "Bacterial small subunit ribosomal RNA", at positions 354 to 796 of the family's 1533-position model. The record is from RNAcentral.